UCGGAGGCAGCAGUGGGGAAUUUUGGACAAUGGGGGAAACCCUGAUCCAGCCAUGCCGCGUGAGUGAAGAAGGCCUUCGGGUUGUAAAGCUCUUUCGGACAGAAAGAAAUCCUAUCCGCUAAUACCGGGUGGGGAUGACGGUACUGUAAGAAGAAGCACCGGCUAACUACGUGCCAGCAGCCGCGGUAAUACGUAGGGUGCGAGCGUUAAUCGGAAUUACUGGGCGUAAAGCGUGCGCAGGCGGUUUUGUAAGACAGAUGUGAAAUCCCCGGGCUUAACCUGGGAACUGCAUUUGUGACUGCAAGGCUAGAGUGUAGCAGAGGGGGGUAGAAUUCCACGUGUAGCAGUGAAAUGCGUAGAGAUGUGGAGGAAUACCGAUGGCGAAGGCAGCCCCCUGGGUUAACACUGACGCUCAUGCACGAAAGCGUGGGGAGCAAACAGGAUUAGAUACCCUGGUAGC
RNAcentral lists this ribosomal RNA (460 nucleotides) under uncultured bacterium. RNAcentral describes it as "bacterial SSU rRNA". It matches the Rfam family "Bacterial small subunit ribosomal RNA", at positions 342 to 794 of the family's 1533-position model. The record is from RNAcentral.